UAUUAAAAUUUUCAUCCAUUUCUACUAUUAAAAACUGGCUUGACUGACAGAAUAACCAGAUAGUUAAACAUAGCGUGCCACGUGUACUUUAUGCUAAAAUACAAGGGCCAGUUUUUUAAUAAUAAAAUUAGAUGAAAUCUUUUUAACA
This is a non-coding RNA of Gossypium raimondii (Peruvian cotton), 148 nucleotides long. The record is from Rfam. Lineage: Eukaryota; Viridiplantae; Streptophyta; Magnoliopsida; Malvales; Malvaceae.